GGACUCGUGCCUGAAACAGGGUUACUUUGAUAGAGUAAAUAAUGAGGGUUAAAGCCCCUCCGGCUCCC
Molecule: transfer RNA, 68 nt
Filed under: Priapichthys annectens
Lineage: Eukaryota; Metazoa; Chordata; Actinopteri; Cyprinodontiformes; Poeciliidae
Description: tRNA-Ile
Rfam family: tRNA
About the family: Transfer RNA (tRNA) molecules are approximately 80 nucleotides in length. Their secondary structure includes four short double-helical elements and three loops (D, anti-codon, and T loops).
Source: RNAcentral